GGCUACAGCCAUGCCGCCCUGAACAUGCCUGAUUUCGUCUGAUCUCGGAAAUUAAGCAGGGUCAGGCCUGGUUAGUACUUGGAUGGGAGACCACCUAGGAAUACUAGGUGCUGUAGGCU
Molecule: ribosomal RNA, 119 nt
Filed under: Pteropus alecto (black flying fox)
Lineage: Eukaryota; Metazoa; Chordata; Mammalia; Chiroptera; Pteropodidae
Source: RNAcentral